RNAcentral lists this transfer RNA (66 nucleotides) under Plakobranchus ocellatus. Its description in RNAcentral is "tRNA-Leu". The record is from RNAcentral. Lineage: Eukaryota; Metazoa; Mollusca; Gastropoda; Plakobranchidae.
UUUUAACUUGGCAGAAUUAAUGCACCUGACUUAGGAUCAGCUUAUAGUAAACUUACUAGUUGGUAA